GUUAAAACACCGGUUCCCGUAAGAUCACAGAAGUUAAGCAACGUCGACCCUGGCCAGUACCUAGAUGUGUAACCGCUUGGGAAUACAACGUGCUGUG
This is a non-coding RNA of Acanthosepion pharaonis, 97 nucleotides long. The record is from the annotation of a GenBank genome assembly. Lineage: Eukaryota; Metazoa; Mollusca; Cephalopoda; Sepiida; Sepiidae.